CCUACGGGAGGCAGCAGUGAGGAAUAUUGGUCAAUGGGCGGGAGCCUGAACCAGCCAAGUCGCGUGAAGGAUGAAUGUCCUGAGGAUUGUAAACCUCUUUUAUCAAGGAAUAAAGUCUGGCACGCGUGCCUGUUUGUAUGUACUUUAUGAAUAAGCAUCGGCUAACUCCGUGCCAGCAGCCGCGGUAAUACGGAGGAUCCGAGCGUUGUCCGGAUUUAUUGGGUUUAAAGGGGGCGUAGACGGGUUGUUAAGUCAGUUGUGAAAGGUUGGGGCUCAACCGUAAAAUUGCAAUUGAUACUGGCAGUCUUGAGUACAGUAGAGGUAGGCGGAAUUCGUGGUGUAGCGGUGAAAUGCAUAGAUAUCACGCAGAACCCCGAUUGCGAAGGCAGCUUACUGAAUUGACACUGACACUGAUGCACGAAAGUGUGGGUAUCAAACAGGAUUAGAUACCCGAGUAGUC
RNAcentral lists this ribosomal RNA (460 nucleotides) under uncultured bacterium. RNAcentral's name for it is "partial 16S ribosomal RNA". It matches the Rfam family "Bacterial small subunit ribosomal RNA", at positions 338 to 795 of the family's 1533-position model. The record is from RNAcentral.